AGCUUUGCUCAGUGGCAGUAUCGUAGCCAAUGAGGUUUAUCCGAGGCGUGAUUACUGCUAAUUGAAAACUAAAAACAAUCUAAAUUUAAGCCACCACACCUGAAUGGCUGGAUAUAUACUGUAGCUAGGAUGGAGAGCU
This is a small nuclear RNA of Rattus rattus (black rat), 139 nucleotides long. RefSeq annotates it as U4 spliceosomal RNA. Lineage: Eukaryota; Metazoa; Chordata; Mammalia; Rodentia; Muridae. The transcript has a single exon. The record is from RefSeq and is a predicted model, not a curated record.